AUGGCAUUUUUUACACUAAACAUUUUUUUGAAGGCAAGGAGUUCAUUUUUCUUCUUCAUUUUUUGCUGUUUUUGUUUUUGUUUUACUUUUCCUAAUUUUGGGGGCUUUCUAUUCACGUCUGAGAAGAGGCCCAACAAAAUGGGCUAUUGGGGCCUUUUUCAGAUCGUGCUGAUGGGGAUAGUUCGGGGUGGAGGGGUUUCGUCCCGAACCUUUUCGUUCGGUAAAAAGGUGCAUCCUCGAGCGAACAAGUCGUUCAGUCUGGUGCUCCUCCAAGCCGAACGGUCGGCACUUAUCGAUGUCCUAAAAGAAAUAGUGUGGGAAGAAAGAAGUAUUGGGACUGCGUAUCCAAGCAAUUGA
RNAcentral lists this ribosomal RNA (357 nucleotides) under Triticum aestivum (bread wheat). RNAcentral's name for it is "partial small subunit ribosomal RNA". The record is from RNAcentral. Lineage: Eukaryota; Viridiplantae; Streptophyta; Magnoliopsida; Poales; Poaceae.